AUUGAACGCUGGCGGCAUGCUUUACACAUGCAAGUCGAACGGUAACAGGCCGCAAGGUUCUGACGAGUGGCGCACGGGUGUGUAAUGCAUCGGAACGUGCCCCGUCGUGGGGGUUAACUACUCUUAAGAGUAGCUAAUACCGCAUACGAUCUAUGGAUGAAAGCGGGGGUCCGUAAGGCCUCGCGCGAUUUGAUCGGCCGAUGUCAGAUUAGGUAGUUGGUGGGGUAAAGGCUCACCAAGCCAACGAUCUGUAGCUGGUCUGAGAGGACGACCAGCCACACUGGGACUGAGACACGGCCAAGACUCCUACGGGAGGCAGCAGUGGGGAAUUUUGGACAAUGGGCGAAAGCCUGAUCCAGCAAUGCCGCGUGCAGGAAGAAGGCCUUCGGGUUGUAAACUGCUUUUGUACGGAACGAAACGGCUCUGGUUAAUACCCGGGGAUAAUGACGGUACCGUAAGAAUAAGCACCGGCUAACUACGUG
Molecule: ribosomal RNA, 482 nt
Filed under: uncultured bacterium
Lineage: Bacteria
Description: partial 16S ribosomal RNA
Rfam family: Bacterial small subunit ribosomal RNA
Source: RNAcentral